UACGGAAGGCAGCAGUGGGGAAUAUUGCACAAUGGGCGCAAGCCUGAUGCAGCCAUGCCGCGUGUAUGAAAAAGGCCUUCGGGUUGUAAAGUACUUUCAGUCGUGAGGAAGGUGUUAAGGUUAAUAACCUUAGCAAUUGACGUUAGCGACAGAAGAAGCACCGGCUAACUCCGUGCCAGCAGCCGCGGUAAUACGGAGGGUGCGAGCGUUAAUCGGAAUUACUGGGCGUAAAGGGCACGCAGGCGGUUAAUUAAGUUGGAUGUGAAAUCCCCGGGCUUAAACCUGGGAAUGGCAUUCAAGACUGGUUAGCUAGAGUCUUGUAGAGGGGGUAGAAUUCCAUGUGUAGCGGUGAAAUGCGUAGAGAUGUGGAGGAAUACCGGUGGCGAAAGGCGGCCCCUGGACAAAGACUGACGCUCAUGUGCGAAAGCUGGGGAGCAAAACAGGGAUUAGAUACC
Molecule: ribosomal RNA, 455 nt
Filed under: uncultured bacterium
Lineage: Bacteria
Description: bacterial SSU rRNA
Rfam family: Bacterial small subunit ribosomal RNA
Source: RNAcentral